GUAUAAGUUUAUCAACGCUUUUUAAGGCGAGGACAUAUAUUUACAUUCUAUGAGACAUACGAUGGGUUGAUGAUAAGACGUAAAGGCCUUUUUUAAGGGCCCUUACAAUGGGUUCACAGGUGUGUGUGGAUUAAGGGCUCGGGCGUGCACGUGCCCCGAAAGGCCAGCUACAACCCUCGCCGGUAAUUCAAUAAUGAUCCUUCCGCAGGUUCACCUACGGAAA
RNAcentral lists this unclassified non-coding RNA (223 nucleotides) under uncultured fungus. RNAcentral describes it as "sequence contains ITS1". Lineage: Eukaryota; Fungi. The record is from RNAcentral.